RNAcentral lists this long non-coding RNA (228 nucleotides) under Selaginella moellendorffii. RNAcentral describes it as "long non-coding RNA (SMOE_LNC000446)". The record is from RNAcentral. Lineage: Eukaryota; Viridiplantae; Streptophyta; Lycopodiopsida; Selaginellales; Selaginellaceae.
UCUUCUUCAUCAUCAACAUUUGAUCCCAUCCCUGCCUCAUCAUCAUAAACCUCCUCCAUUUCAACAUGCAACUUCAAUUCAAUUUCCUCAAGUAUUUCCUGCAUCAAAAGAAUUCUGAUCCACUGAGGCUCAACCUUUAUUUCAUCCGCAUUCACCUCCAAAAGCCUCAUCUCAUGUGUUUCCAUCUCCUUGAGUAGCUUCAAGUUGCUGUAGUAGAAGAAGAGCUUC